UGCCCAAAAGCUAGCCCACCUAACCAACCUCAAAUAAAUCAAUCUAAAUAACCCCGAAGACACCACUAUUUAAAUUACCAAACCAUUUUCCCUCCUUAGUAUAGGCGAUAGAAAAGGACUCACGGCGCAAUAGAGAAAGUACCGCAAGGGAAUGCUGAAAGAGAAGUGAAACAACUCAUAAAAGCUCAGAAAAGCAGAGAUUAUAACUCGUACCUUUUGCAUCAUGAUUUAGCAAGUGUAACUUAAGCAAAGAGAACUUUAGUUUAACAUCCCGAAACUACGUGAGCUACUCCAAGACAGCCUGUUAAUAGGGCACACCCGUCUCUGUUGCAAAAGAGUGGGAAGAGCUUUGAGUAGAGGUGAUAGACCUACCGAACAUAGUUAUAGCUGGUUGCCCAGGAAAUGAAUAGAAGUUCAGCCUUCCGGCUUCUCUUUUCACCCCGGCCUAACACCAAUUGAUGAUAUAAGAAACCGGAAGAGUUAGUCAAAGGGGGUACAGCCCCUUUGAACCAAGGUACAACUUUGUCAGGAGGGUAAAGAUCAUACUAAGCAAGGAAAGUACUCCCGUGGGCUUGAAAGCAGCCAUCCUUGAAGAAAGCGUCACAGCUCAAGUACUCUACUUAAACCCUCUUAUUCUGAUCACCUAAUCUUAUCCCCCUAAUUAUACUGGGCCUUCCCAUGCUUUCAUGGGAGUGACGAUGCUAAUAUGAGUAAUAAGGGGGCCUACGCCCCCCUCCCCGCACACGUGUACACCGGAACGGACCACCCGCCGACUCUUAACGAACCCAACAAAAGAGGGAAUUGGAUAACAAACCAAACAACUAGAAAACUAUCCAAAAACUAGCCGUUAACCCCACACAGGUGUGCCCCCGGGAAAGACUAAAAGGAAAAGAAGGAACUCGGCAAACAUAAGCCCUCGCCUGUUUACCAAAAACAUCGCCUCUUGAAACCUACUAAUAAGAGGUCCCGCCUGCCCUGUGACUAUAGUUUAACGGCCGCGGUAUUUUGACCGUGCGAAGGUAGCGCAAUCACUUGUCUUUUAAAUGGAGACCUGUAUGAAUGGCAUAACGAGGGCUUAACUGUCUCCUUUUCCCGGUCAAUGAACUUGAUCUCCCCGUGCAGAAGCGGGGAUACUACCAUAAGACGAGAAGACCCUAUGGAGCUUUAGACACUAGAGUAGACCAUGUUAAUGAGCCUGAACAAAGGACUAAACAGAAUGGACCCUCCCCUAAUGUCUUUGGUUGGGGCGACCGCGGGGUACUAAACAACCCCCACGUGGAGUGGGAGUACCCCCUCCUGCAGCCGAGAGUUACAGCUCUAAUAAACAGAAAUUCUGACCAAAAAGAUCCGGCAACGCCGAUCAACGGACCGAGUUACCCUAGGGAUAACAGCGCAAUCCUCUUUUAGAGCCCAUAUCGACAAGGGGGUUUACGACCUCGAUGUUGGAUCAGGACAUCCUAAUGGUGCAGCCGCUAUUAAGGGUUCGUUUGUUCAACGAUUAAAGUCCUACGUGAUCUGAGUUCAGACCGGAGUAAUCCAGGUCAGUUUCUAUCUAUGCUGUGCUCUUCUCUAGUACGAAAGGACCGAGAAGAGGAGGCCUAUACCCCUGGCACGCCUCCCCCCCACCUGAUGAGUUUAACUGAAAAAGGUAAAAGGGCAUAACCCCGUGCCGAAGAUUACGGCAU
This 1685-nucleotide ribosomal RNA is filed under the name Hypoptychus dybowskii (Korean sandeel). RNAcentral's name for it is "16S rRNA". The stretch from base 99 to 1606 matches the Rfam family "Bacterial large subunit ribosomal RNA". The record is from RNAcentral. Lineage: Eukaryota; Metazoa; Chordata; Actinopteri; Perciformes; Hypoptychidae.